This 175-nucleotide ribosomal RNA is filed under the name Poecilimon zonatus. RNAcentral describes it as "5.8S ribosomal RNA". The stretch from base 10 to 164 matches the Rfam family "5.8S ribosomal RNA". From Rfam's summary of the family: 5.8S ribosomal RNA (5.8S rRNA) is a component of the large subunit of the eukaryotic ribosome. It is transcribed by RNA polymerase I as part of the 45S precursor that also contains 18S and 28S rRNA. The record is from RNAcentral. Lineage: Eukaryota; Metazoa; Arthropoda; Insecta; Orthoptera; Tettigoniidae.
CAAAAAUACAACCCUGAACGGUGGAUCACUCGGCUCGUGGGUCGAUGAAGAACGCAGCAAAUUGCGCGUCGACAUGUGAACUGCAGGACACAUGAACAUCGACAUUUCGAACGCACAUUGCGGUCCAUGGAUUCCGUUCCCGGACCACGUCUGGCUGAGGGUCGGUAGCUAAAAC